This 652-nucleotide ribosomal RNA is filed under the name uncultured bacterium. RNAcentral's name for it is "bacterial SSU rRNA". It matches the Rfam family "Bacterial small subunit ribosomal RNA", at positions 202 to 842 of the family's 1533-position model. The record is from RNAcentral.
GAAAGAUGGUUCUGCUAUCACUCUUGGAUGGACCUGCGGUGCAUUAGCUAGUUGGUAAGGUAACGGCUUACCAAGGCAAUGAUGCAUAGCCGAGUUGAGAGACUGAUCGGCCACAUUGGGACUGAGACACGGCCCAAACUCCUACGGGAGGCAGCAGUAGGGAAUCUUCCACAAUGGACGAAAGUCUGAUGGAGCAACGCCGCGUGAGUGAAGAAGGGUUUCGGCUCGUAAAGCUCUGUUGGUAGUGAAGAAAGAUAGAGGUAGUAACUGGCCUUUAUUGACGGUAAUUACUUAGAAAGUCACGGCUAACUACGUGCCAGCAGCCGCGGUAAUACGUAGGUGGCAAGCGUUGUCCGGAUUUAUUGGGCGUAAAGCGAGUGCAGGCGGUUCAAUAAGUCUGAUGUGAAAGCCUUCGGCUCAACCGGAGAAUUGCAUCAGAAACUGUUGAACUUGAGUGCAGAAGAGGAGAGUGGAACUCCAUGUGUAGCGGUGGAAUGCGUAGAUAUAUGGAAGAACACCAGUGGCGAAGGCGGCUCUCUGGUCUGCAACUGACGCUGAGGCUCGAAAGCAUGGGUAGCGAACAGGAUUAGAUACCCUGGUAGUCCAUGCCGUAAACGAUGAGUGCUAAGUGUUGGGAGGUUUCCGCCUCUCA